UCCAGACACGCCACCUUUAAGAACUGUAACACUCACUGCGCGGGUCCACGGCUUCAUUCUUGAAGUAAGUAAGACCAAGAACCCACCAAUUCGGACACAAUACCAUUUAGAGCACACCCAUAUUAAUAAAAACAAAUUUUAUGGAAGAAUGUAUUUGCAAAUGGCCAUCAACUAUGUGGAAUGUGGUUUGGAAGAGUGUUCAUUGUCUGCAUGUAAGUGGAUGCCUGGUGGAGAUGGGAAGGGGAUGAAUGAUGCAAUAAUUAAUGGGAAGAAUCUCGAAAUGAAAUAUAAAAUAAGGGAGGUGCACUGUUAGAAUAAAAGCCAGUCAUGAACUAAGCAGUAAUGCCAAUUUAAUUCUGUGGACUUGAAAUCCAAGAUCCCAAAGCAAAACAAAAUAAAACUUGCAACAUCAAUUUCAACAUCGAUUUUAUAUCUCUAUUUUAGUGAUAGAUUUUAAAAAAUAUUAGUAUAUCAAUAUAUAAAAUUUAGACCUGAUAUAAUAAAAAUACUUACGGAUUUAAAGAAAUUUUGGGAACCGGAAGAAUAAUACAAAGAAUUAUUAGAGAUUAGUGUAGUGGUUCUGGGUUCACUUUUUCCUGUGUAUACUUUUAGCUCCUAUGACACAAAGAAAAAUCUUUAGCUCCGGAAGUGUUUCACAUGAACUGUAAAACCUCGGUUAUUAAUUUACUAUUUUAUUGCCAUUUGGUUUAACAACAUGUAGAAAAAUGUUUGUUCUUAAGACCUGAAAUCCUGCAGCCUUACAAACUUACAAAUCAUUUGAACAUCACAAAAAAGUUCAAAUGAUUAAGGCUAAUAAUGUUCUAUAUUGCAUUAUUUUGACCUUUUUAUCUAAUUGCAAAUCUUGUAAUGACCCACUGAGCAUAUUUACCUUUUGAAUCAAGGAAGCAGCAAGAAGCAAACAGCUGGAAACACAGUCAUGCUCUGUCGCCUAGGCUGGUCUCAAACACCUAGCUUCAAGCAAUCCUUCCACCUCAGCCUCCCAAAUUGAUGGGAUUACAGGUGUGAGCUACCACACUCAGCCUCUGCUACAUAAUUUAUGUGGAAAAUUCCUCCUUUUUAUUAAUCAAAACCUACACUCAAUAGAUACAUAUUUCUUGGGGAUUUCCAAACUGGAAAUAACCAACACAACUAGGUCAAGCAUCCAUCAUGCACCAUGUACACCACAGUGCACCACAGCUGAGACCAGUGUGGAUCCCACCAUCAGCAGCUUUUCCAAAGGACCCAGGCAAAAUGUGUGGUGUUUCUGAGGGCAUCCUCUUCCACAUUUUUAGCGUAAUCUACCUCGACACACAGAUGCAAUGCUCACAGAGGCCAGAACGCUUCCCAGAAGCAGCCAAGAGUGAGCACUUUCUCAUGGUGUAAAAUAUUCUACCAAAACCUUAUUUCCAAUAGGAGGGUCCAGAUAAUCAAAGCUUCGGAUCUCCUAAAACCUGGCUUUGCCUCUUACUUGAGAACUUUGCAAAGAAGAAUGCUAGCCAGUGAAUGUUCAGAGAGGAAGGAAGAAGAAGCUGUCCAAUGACCUUUUUUCUUAUGGCUUUCUAACUUGAUUCUUGACACUGUCACCAAGGAGUAAUCUGUGGAGAGACAUUUGAUUGAUUAUCUCUGCAAUCCUCCCCUCCCCACUUCCUUCUCUGGCCCCUCCUUGUCCACAUGGGCCUCUGGAGAAACCAGCGAGGGAUGACUGGGGAUAAAGGCUCGUCUCUGGAGAGGGCUGCCAACCUCACCUUGUUCCAAGUCUCCACAAAACACAGCCAACCUUCCAGACACAAAAGAAGCACCUCCUGACUCCAUCUCUUUUCCUUGUUUUCUCUCUUUACAAGCAUAUUGGUAUUUUUUCACAGAGAGAUAAUUCCCAUUCACUUCUAGGAAGAAAAUUUCGCUCUCAAAACUGUUGGUGAGAGACCCCUUGAAGAGAGAACUUCUCUGUUCUUCUGGAGGAGAUGAUUUAGUAAGGCAGUGCUGGAGUUCAAACUGAGCCUCCACAGGCCUAACUUGCUUCACUUUUAAGCUUUUAGGAAGAGAGCUUUUAGAGAGAGAAAAUUGCUUUCCAAAAGGGAACUCUAGAAAGAGGACGAAUGAGCAGGGCUGAAACUUUGAGAGAAAAUGGAAGGAGUUGGAAGAUGGAGGGAGGAACCAAAGUAACUAAUAAGAAUUUCUGGGGCUGGGUGCAGUGGCUCACACUUGAAAUCUCAGCACUUUGGGAGGCUGAAGUCGUGGAUCACAUGAGUCCAGGAAUUCAAGAGCAGCCUGGGCAAUAUGGCAAGACCCCGUCUCUACAAAAAAUACAAAAAUUAGCUGGGCAUGGGGGUGUCUGUAGUCCCAGCUACUCGGGAGGCUGAAGCAGGAAGAUCCCUGGAGCCCAGAGGUUGAGGCUGCAGUGGGCCGUAAUCACGCCACUGCGCUCCAGCCUGGACGGCCAAGUGAGACUAUCUCAAAAAAAAAAAAAGAAUUUAUUAAUUUCUUCUUAUGAAAUAUACAAUAUAGGCCCCCUCUUUUUGCUCCUGUAUGAGAAUGUGAAGAAAAGUCUUUGGCUUGAUGUGCAGUCCUGAUUCCUCUGGAUUCCUUUUGGGAGAGAGGUUAGAACAAGAACUGAGGCCUGGUUCCAGUAAGUGCCUGGAUGCAGGACAGCAGGGUAGCUGACAUCCUGGAUAUGCAAAGUAACAGCAUGGAGAAUAAAGGAGUGAGGAAAAUUAAUAAAACAUGGAAUAUUUUAAUAAGACUGCAAGGAAGCAUACAGAGACACAUGGAAAAUACAAAGAUAGCUGUUUUAUUGUAGCAUGGACAUGGACUUUAUGGCUGGCAAUUUGGGCGUUUCAAGCUCUUUUUGUUGUUUACUUGUGGUACAUGUUUGACAAGUAAUUUCCAUUUUCCAAGUCAUUUUUUUCAUCUGUAAAAUGAGACUAAUUCAAAUAACUUCCCUCGAUAGGUUUCUAUUUUUGGUGAGAAUUGUUUUUUUCUUUUCAUGUAGUAUAUAUUUUAUUAGCUUGUACUAAUACAUUCUCAUAUUACAAAGUCAAUUUAGUGGAAGAAUCUUCCUUCUGAUAUUUGAUUCAUGUGAAAUAACACAAACAGAACUAUACAUUCAAAAAAAUUCUCAUUUAGAUAACAAAAAAAAGACAAGUUAAACAACAAAAAUCUUUUCCUUUCUCACAGGUGGACAUUGAAGUGGACCUAAUUCGGUUUUCCUUUUAAAAGCCCCCACAAACAAAAGUAGUUUGAAACCUAUUUAAAAU
Molecule: long non-coding RNA, 3254 nt
Filed under: Homo sapiens (human)
Lineage: Eukaryota; Metazoa; Chordata; Mammalia; Primates; Hominidae
Description: HSALNT0118870
Source: RNAcentral